RNAcentral lists this ribosomal RNA (284 nucleotides) under uncultured prokaryote. RNAcentral's name for it is "partial 16S ribosomal RNA". It matches the Rfam family "Bacterial small subunit ribosomal RNA", at positions 524 to 817 of the family's 1533-position model. The record is from RNAcentral.
CACGGGGGUUGCGAGCGUUGUCCGGAAUUACUAGGCGUAAAGGGCAGGAAGGCGGAUCCAUAAGUUUAUCGUUUAAGGCGUCGGCUUAACCGGCGUAGGGCGGUAGAUACUGUGGAUCUGGAAUGCGGUUGGGGAAGACAGAAUUCCUGGUGUAGCGGUGGAAUGCGCAGAGAUCAGGAGGAAUACCGAAGGCGAAGGCAGUCUUCCAAGCCGUUAUUGACGCUCAACUGCGAAGGUGUGGGUAUCCAACAGGAUUAGAUACCCGGGUAGUCCCUGAGCGGGCU